This 1424-nucleotide ribosomal RNA is filed under the name metagenome. Its description in RNAcentral is "bacterial SSU rRNA". It matches the Rfam family "Archaeal small subunit ribosomal RNA". The record is from RNAcentral.
GAUCCUGCGGAAGGUUGCUGCUAUUGGGGUUCGAUUUAGCCAUGCAAGUCUGCUCAGCAAUGGGCGGCGAAAUGCUCAGUAACACGUCAAUAAUCUGCCCUUAGAUCUGGGAUAACCUUGGGAAACUGAGGCUAAGCCCAGAUAUGAAAACUAUACUGGAAUAUGAGUUUUCUGAAACGUAAGGUCUAAGGAUGAGUUGGCGGCGGAUUAGGUCGUUGGUGGGGUAAAGGCCCACCAAGCCGAAGAUCCGUAGGGGCCUUGAGAGAGGUAGCCCCGAGAAGGACACUGAGAUACUGGUCCUAGCCCUACGGGGUGCAGCAGGCGCGAAACCUUUACAAUGCACGCAAGUGUGAUAAGGGAACCCCAAGUGCUUUGCUUUUAGUAAGGCUUUUGCCAAGAGUAAAUAUCUUGGCGAAUAAGUGGUGGGAAAGACUGGUGCCAGCAGCCGCGGUAACACCAGCGCCACGAGUGGCAAUCAUAAUUAUUGGGCCUAAAGCGUCCGUAGCCUGCUUGAUAGGUCUUUUGUGAAAUCGUUGUGCUUAACAUGACGACGUGCAAGAGAUACCAUUGGACUUGGAACCGGAGAGGAGUCAGAGGUAUUCUAGGGGGAGCGGUAAAAUGCUAUAAUCCCUAGCAGACCACCUGUGGCGAAGGCGUCUGACUAGAACGGCUUCGACGGUGAGGGACGAAAGCCAGGGGAGCAAAUCGGAUUAGAUACCCGAGUAGUCCUGGCUGUAAACGCUGUGAGCUAGGUGUUGCAUAUUCUUCGUGAAUGUGCGAUGUCGAAAUGAAGAUGUUAAGCUCACCGCCUGGGAAGUAUGGUCGCAAGACUGAAACUUAAAGGAAUUGGCGGGGGAGCACCACAAGGGGUGCGGCGUGCGGUUUAAUCUAAUUUAACGCAGAGAAUCUCACCAGAAGCGACGGCAGGAUGAAGGUCAGAUUGAAGGUCUUACCUGACGAGCCGAGAGGUAGUGCAUGGCCGUCGUCAGCUCGUGCCGUAAGGUGUCUUGUUAAGUCAAGCAACGAGCGAGACCUGUGCCUACAAUUGCUAACGACUCUUUUAAGAGAAUCGAGCACAUUGUAGGGACUGCCCUCGAAAGGGGGAGGAAGGUGCAGGCUACGGUAGGUCUGUAUGCUCCGAAUCUUCUGGGCUACACGCGCGCAACAAUGAUAAGGACAAUGGGAUGCGACUCUGAAAAGAGAAGCUAAACCUCAAAACCUUAUCUCAGUACAGAUUGAGGACUGUAAUUCGUCCUCAUGACGAUGGAAUCCCUAGUAAUCAGAUGUCAACAUCAUCUGGUGAAUAUGUCCCUGCUCCUUGCACACACCGCCCGUCAAACCACUCGAGCAGGGUCUAGGUGAGACUUAGUUUUUAAUUAAGCCGAACCUAGGCUCAGUGAGAUGGGUUAAGUCGUCACAAGGUA